CACGGCGCACGGGUGCGUAACACGUGGGCAAUCUGCCCUCGGAUGGGGGAUAACCCCGCGAAAGCGGGGCUAAUACCGCAUGAUAUUCCUGGGACCCCGGUCCCGGGACUCAAAGGCCGCAAGGCCGUCUGAGGAGGAGCCCGCGCCCGAUUAGCUUGUUGGCGAGGUAACGGCUCACCAAGGCAAUGAUCGGUAGCCGGUCUGAGAGGAUGGCCGGCCACACUGGAACUGAGACACGGUCCAGACUCCUACGGGAGGCAGCAGUGGGGAAUCUUGCGCAAUGGGCGAAAGCCUGACGCAGCGACGCCGCGUGGGGGAUGAAGCUUCUCGGAGUGUAAACCCCUUUCGACCCGGACGAAACGCCCGCAAGGGCUUGACGGUACGGGUAUAAGAAGCCCCGGCUAACUACGUGCCAGCAGCCGCGGUAAGACGUAGGGGGCCAGCGUUGCUCGGAAUUACUGGGCGUAAAGGGUUCGUAGGCGGUGCGGUAAGUCGGAAGUGAAAUCUCUGGGCUUAACUCAGAGGCUGCUUUCGAAACUGCCGUGCUCGAGUGCGGGAGAGGCGAGUGGAAUUGCAGGUGUAGCGGUGAAAUGCGUAGAUAUCUGCAGGAACACCCGUGGCGAAGGCGGCUCGCUGGACCGCAACUGACGCUGAGGAACGAAAGCUAGGGGAGCAAACAGGAUUAGAUACCCUGGUAGUCCUAGCCCUAAACCAUCAGGACUUGGGGUGUCGCCCGUUCGGGCGUCGUCACGGAGCUAACGCGUUAAGUCCUGCACCUGGGGAGUACGGUCGCAAGACUGAAACUCAAAGGAAUUGACGGGGGCCCGCACAAGCGGUGGAACAUGUGGUUCAAUUCGA
Molecule: ribosomal RNA, 858 nt
Filed under: uncultured bacterium
Lineage: Bacteria
Description: bacterial SSU rRNA
Rfam family: Bacterial small subunit ribosomal RNA
Source: RNAcentral